GAUGAACGCUGGCGGCGUGCCUAACACAUGCAAGUUGAGCGAUUCUCUUCGGAGAAGAGCGGCGGACGGGUGAGUAACGCGUGGGUAACCUGCCCUGUACACACGGAUAACAUACCGAAAGGUAUGCUAAUACGAGAUAAUAUGCUUUUGUCGCAUGGUAGAAGUAUCAAAGCUCCGGCGGUACAGGAUGGACCCGCGUCUGAUUAGCUAGUUGGUAAGGUAACGGCUUACCAAGGCGACGAUCAGUAGCCGACCUGAGAGGGUGGUCGGCCACAUUGGAACUGAGACACGGUCCAAACUCCUACGGGAGGCAGCAGUGGGGAAUAUUGCACAAUGGGCGAAAGCCUGAUGCAGCAACGCCGCGUGAGCGAUGAAGGCCUUCGGGUCGUAAAGCUCUGUCCUCAAGGAAGAUAAUGACGGUACUUGAGGAGGAAGCCCCGGCUAACUACGUGCCAGCCGCCGCGGUAA
Molecule: ribosomal RNA, 468 nt
Filed under: uncultured bacterium
Lineage: Bacteria
Description: partial 16S ribosomal RNA
Rfam family: Bacterial small subunit ribosomal RNA
Source: RNAcentral